This 465-nucleotide ribosomal RNA is filed under the name Vreelandella stevensii. RNAcentral's name for it is "partial 16S ribosomal RNA". It matches the Rfam family "Bacterial small subunit ribosomal RNA", at positions 338 to 795 of the family's 1533-position model. The record is from RNAcentral. Lineage: Bacteria; Pseudomonadati; Pseudomonadota; Gammaproteobacteria; Oceanospirillales; Halomonadaceae.
CCUACGGGUGGCUGCAGUGGGGAAUAUUGGACAAUGGGCGAAAGCCUGAUCCAGCCAUGCCGCGUGUGUGAAGAAGGCCUUCGGGUUGUAAAGCACUUUCAGUGGGGAAGAAAGCCUUGGGGCUAAUACCCUCGAGGAAGGACAUCACCCACAGAAGAAGCACCGGCUAACUCCGUGCCAGCAGCCGCGGUAAUACGGAGGGUGCGAGCGUUAAUCGGAAUUACUGGGCGUAAAGCGCGCGUAGGCGGUCUGAUAAGCCGGUUGUGAAAGCCCCGGGCUCAACCUGGGAACGGCAUCCGGAACUGUCAGGCUAGAGUGCAGGAGAGGAAGGUAGAAUUCCCUGUGUAGCGGUGAAAUGCGUAGAGAUCGGGAGGAAUACCAGUGGCGAAGGCGGCCUUCUGGACUGACACUGACGCUGAGGUGCGAAAGCGUGGGUAGCAAACAGGAUUAGAUACCCCUGUAGUC